This 74-nucleotide transfer RNA is filed under the name Haliotis rufescens (red abalone). RNAcentral's name for it is "tRNA-Thr". It matches the Rfam family "tRNA". Rfam says of the family: Transfer RNA (tRNA) molecules are approximately 80 nucleotides in length. Their secondary structure includes four short double-helical elements and three loops (D, anti-codon, and T loops). Further hydrogen bonds mediate the characteristic L-shaped molecular structure. tRNAs have two regions of fundamental functional importance: the anti-codon, which is responsible for specific mRNA codon recognition, and the 3' end, to which the tRNAs corresponding amino acid is attached (by aminoacyl-tRNA synthetases). tRNAs cope with the degeneracy of the genetic code in two manners: having more than one tRNA (with a specific anti-codon) for a particular amino acid; and 'wobble' base-pairing, i.e. permitting non-standard base-pairing at the 3rd anti-codon position. Lineage: Eukaryota; Metazoa; Mollusca; Gastropoda; Lepetellida; Haliotidae. The record is from RNAcentral.
AGCCUCCGUAGCUCAGUGGUAAGAGCACUGGUCUCGUAAACCAGGGGUCGUGAGUUCGAUCCUCACCGGGGCUA